Molecule: non-coding RNA, 1445 nt
Organism: Callithrix jacchus (white-tufted-ear marmoset)
Lineage: Eukaryota; Metazoa; Chordata; Mammalia; Primates; Cebidae
Source: RefSeq, a predicted model, not a curated record
AACUCUGCCCCUACCGCAAACGCUCUCUCUCUCUCUCUCUUUCCCUCCCCCACAAAGAGGCUCCCUUAUCUCUCACUUUACAUACCGGUCCUAGCCCUCCCGCAGCCCAGCUUCCCGCUGCCCAGCUUCCCACCCAGCAGUUCAAACUGACCAACAGUUGCCCACCACCUCGGCUUUUGGCUUCCCCACCCCCCAGCCCUUCAGCCCCCUAUAAAACAACCCUGCCCCUCUGAGCAGCGCGGCCAUUUUUCCUUUUCGUCCCGGCUGGCCUGCCCGGAGGCUCUUUCCUCUCAAUAAAGCCUGAACUUAAGGAAUUUCCUCUAGCCUGCGGUCCGGUUUUUUCCGAACGAGCUCAGUCUUCCCGCAGAGGGUAGGUCGGACAAAUGGUGCCGGAAACCCGGGACGGGAGCUGGGGCCGUUGGCCCGGCCACGGCCCCCCUCCCCGACCUACCCAACACUGGCCCUGCCACCUCCACGUUCCGAUUAAGGCUGGAUUGAAGCUUACCCCACAGCCUCUGAGUCUGCCGGGACAGUAGCCACUCAUCUCAUUCAAGACAUCAUCCCACGCUUUGGACUCCCGGCUACCAUACAGUCAGACAACGGCCUAGCCUUUAUCUCCAAAGUCACUAAUGCCGUUUCUACCUCUCUAGGAAUUCAGUAGAAGCUACAUGCCGCCUACCAUCCCCAGUCCUCUGGUAAGGUAGAACGGGCCAAUGGCCUAAUAAAGGAGCAUCUGACCAAGCUCAUGCUUGAGCUCCGCCAAUCCUGGGUAACCUUACUUCCUAUCGCCCUCACCAGAGUAAGAGCAAGCCCCCGGGGCCCAUCACAGCUUAGCCCAUUUGAGCUGCUGUAUGGUUGCCCCUUCCUGCUUUCAACUCCCCCACCGCCAGAGACUACUCCUCUAGACAGCUACCUCCCCUACUUUACUCAGGAUUAGGAGGAGGGGCACUAGUCCACUCUCACCUGGCUAUAGCCCGACUGACCUCGCAAUUCCAAGCAGCUAUUGAUGACUCUACUGAGUCUUUAGCAUCACUCCAACGACAGAUCACCUCAGUUGCCCAAGUUGCCUUGCAGAACCGAAGAGCCCUAGACCUGCUCACUGCUGAACGAGGAGGGACCUGUAUCUUCCUACAAGAAGAGUGCUGUUACUACAUCAGUGAAUCCGGCCUAGUAGAAACCCGAAUCGAGAGCCUCCAGAAACUCAAAACUAACCUCUAGAGUCAGAUGUUCUCGGCUGAAGCCACAGCGUGGUGGUCUUCCUCUAUGUAUACCCUCUUGUUACCAUUGCUUGGGCCCCUAAUAGCCGUUUGCCUAAUCUUACUUAUUGCUCCUUGCUUUCUCCAGUUCCUACAGCGGCUCUUUCAAGAACUGACUGGAGUCACCAUCCACCAGAUGCUGCUCCAACCCCACCCUGAACGAGUGCAAGAAACAGACCUCUCCCCAAA